Molecule: ribosomal RNA, 497 nt
Filed under: uncultured bacterium
Lineage: Bacteria
Description: partial 16S ribosomal RNA
Rfam family: Bacterial small subunit ribosomal RNA
Source: RNAcentral
GAUGAACGCUGGCGGCGUGCCUAAUACAUGCAAGUCGAGCGAACAGAUGAGGAGCUUGCUCCUCUGACGUUAGCGGCGGACGGGUGUGUAACACGUGGAUAACCCACCUAUAAGACUGGGAUAACUUCGGGAAACCGGAGCUAAUACCGGAUAAUAUAUUGAACCGCAUGGUUCAAUAGUGAAAGACGGUUUUGCUGUCACUUAUAGAUGGAUCCGCGCCGCAUUAGCUAGUUGGUAAGGUAACGGCUUACCAAGGCGACGAGGCGUAGCCGACCUGAGAGAGGGAUCGGCCACACUGGAGCUGGGACAGGGUCCAGACUCCUACGAGAGGCAGCAGUAGGCAAUCUUCCGCAAUGGGCGGAAGCCUGACAGAGCAAGGCCGCGUGAGUGAUGAAGGUCUUCGGAUCGUAAAACUCUGUUAUUGGGGAAGAACAGAUGUGUAAGUAACUAUGCACGUCUUGACGGUACCUAAUCAGGAAGCCACGGCUAACUACGUG